CCGAGUGAGGGCCCCAAGGCCCGACCUCCAACCCUUUGUAAUUCAAAACCUCUGUUGCCUCGGGGGCGACCGUGGCCUCGCGCCGCGGGCCCCCGACGGACCACUUUAAAACACUGCAUCUUUGCGUCGGAUUAAUAAAGGAAAUAAAAUCA
RNAcentral lists this unclassified non-coding RNA (152 nucleotides) under uncultured Capnodiales. RNAcentral describes it as "sequence contains ITS1". Lineage: Eukaryota; Fungi; Ascomycota; Dothideomycetes; Capnodiales. The record is from RNAcentral.